This is a long non-coding RNA of Nomascus leucogenys (northern white-cheeked gibbon), 900 nucleotides long. RefSeq lists it as uncharacterized. The record is from RefSeq and is a predicted model, not a curated record. The transcript is spliced from 3 exons. Lineage: Eukaryota; Metazoa; Chordata; Mammalia; Primates; Hylobatidae.
GCGCUGCCUGGAUUCUCCACCUCCUCAACUCCAGGAAGCAACAAGCUAUCAAAGACAGAAUUUGCACAACAGGACAAAGGAAGGCAGCAUCAAAAUGAUCCCGUGCCACAGUGACUAUGUCAGAAGGUCAUUGACCCUGCCUUUGAUGCGCACUGAUGGGCUUGCCUCUCUCUUUUCCACUUAUAUCCUUGUUUCCCAACUUCUGGAUACCGAUCAAACGUCAGGCUAUAAACAUCUUGAAGGCAGAGAUUAUAUCUCAUUCAAUCUUCUAUCUCAAGUAUCUACUGCAAAACCAAGCAAACGGUAAGAGCUCAAUAAUUGGUGGUUCUUCAUGUCAUCCUUAUCUAUAAAAGGGUUCAAAAUAAAAUAUCAUAAAGACAUCCCGCCCACACACUUACUUAUUUCUCUGAAUGUUUACAACAUUUCUAAAUGAUACCACUCUACUGUCAAUUAAUAAGAAUAAUUUAUUUUAUUGUGAUUUAAUUACAUGGCCCUAUACAUUUACCCACUGCUUUGUCUACCAGACAAACCUAGAUUUGAAUCUUGCUUGCUUGCUUCUCUUGCUCUCUGUGUGGCAUUGGCCAAAUCAUUGCACCUCUUGGAUCCUCAUUUUUCUCAUCUAUAAGAUGGAGAUGAUAUAAUACAUCUGCCUUGCAGAACGGUAAAAGGAUUAGCAGUGUUGUAUGAAGGACAUGUUGUACAAUGGCUGGGAUGGAAAAGAUGUCCAGGAAGAGGUACCUAUGCUUUCUAUUGCAUGGAAGGAGUUCACUACAAAUGUUUGUUAAUUUAGUCUCGGCCUCUGUUUAGUACAGUCAUACACCUCAGAGAUAUUGAGGGUCUGGUUUCAGAUGACUACAAUAAAGAAAAUGUUACCAUAAAACAGUCACACACAUGUUUUGG